UUCAUCCAAAGCUAAAUAUUGGCGAGAGACCGAUAGCGAACAAGUACCGUGAGGGAAAGGUGAAAAGCACCCCGACGAGGGGAGUGAAACAGAUCCUGAAACCGGACGCCUACAAACAGUUGGAGGGCUUCGUGCCUGACAGCGUACCUUUUGUAUAAUGGGUCAGCGACUUAAUUUAACGAGCAAGCUUAAGCCGGUAGGUGUAGGCGUAGCGAAAGCGAGUCUGAAUAGGGCGCUCGAGUUCGUCGCAUGACGACCCGAAACCAGGUGAUCUAUCCAUGAGCAGGUUGAAGG
This 294-nucleotide ribosomal RNA is filed under the name Durinskia baltica. Its description in RNAcentral is "partial Bacterial large subunit ribosomal RNA". It matches the Rfam family "Bacterial large subunit ribosomal RNA", at positions 455 to 751 of the family's 2925-position model. Lineage: Eukaryota; Dinophyceae; Peridiniales; Kryptoperidiniaceae. The record is from RNAcentral.